RNAcentral lists this ribosomal RNA (424 nucleotides) under Verrucomicrobiota bacterium. RNAcentral describes it as "Verrucomicrobia bacterium partial 16S ribosomal RNA". It matches the Rfam family "Bacterial small subunit ribosomal RNA", at positions 355 to 776 of the family's 1533-position model. Lineage: Bacteria; Pseudomonadati; Verrucomicrobiota. The record is from RNAcentral.
UGAGGAAUAUUGGUCAAUGGGCGAGAGCCUGAACCAGCCAAGUAGCGUGCAGGAUGACGGCCCUAUGGGUUGUAAACUGCUUUUAUGUGGGGAUAAAGUGCGUGACGUGUCAUGCAUUGCAGGUACCACAUGAAUAAGGACCGGCUAAUUCCGUGCCAGCAGCCGCGGUAAUACGGAAGGUCCGGGCGUUAUCGGGAUUUAUUGGGUUUAAAGGGAGCGUAGGCUGUCUAUUAAGCGUGUUGUGAAAUAUACCGGCUCAACCGGUGGCUUGCAGCGCGAACUGGUCGACUUGAGUAUGCAGGAAGUAGGCGGAAUUCAUGGUGUAGCGGUGAAAUGCUUAGAUAUCAUGAAGAACUCCGAUUGCGAAGGCAGCUUACGGGAGCGCAACUGACGCUGAAGCUCGAAGGUGCGGGUAUCGAACAGG